RNAcentral lists this ribosomal RNA (451 nucleotides) under uncultured bacterium. RNAcentral describes it as "partial 16S ribosomal RNA". It matches the Rfam family "Bacterial small subunit ribosomal RNA", at positions 29 to 523 of the family's 1533-position model. The record is from RNAcentral.
AGCGAACGCUGGCGGCAGGCUUAACACAUGCAAGUCGAGCGGGCGUAGCAAUACGUCAGCGGCAGACGGGUGAGUAACGCGUGGGAACGUACCUUUUGGUUCGGAACAACACAGGGAAACUUGUGCUAAUACCGGAUAAGCCCUUACGGGGAAAGAUUUAUCGCCGAAAGAUCGGCCCGCGUCUGAUUAGCUAGUUGGUGAGGUAACGGCUCACCAAGGCGACGAUCAGUAGCUGGUCUGAGAGGAUGAUCAGCCACAUUGGGACUGAGACACGGCCCAAACUCCUACGGGAGGCAGCAGUGGGGAAUAUUGGACAAUGGGCGCAAGCCUGAUCCAGCCAUGCCGCGUGAGUGAUGAAGGCCCUAGGGUUGUAAAGCUCUUUUGUGCGGGAAGAUAAUGACAGUACCGCAAGAAUAAGCCCCGGCUAACUUCGUGCCAGCAGCCGCGGUAA